AUACGUAGGUGGCAAGCGUUGUCCGGAAUUAUUGGGCGUAAAGCGCGCGCAGGCGGUCCUUUAAGUCUGAUGUGAAAGCCCACGGCUCAACCGUGGAGGGUCAUUGGAAACUGGAGGACUUGAGUGCAGAAGAGUAAAGUGGAAUUCCAAGUGUAGCGGUGAAAUGCGUAGAGAUUUGGAGGAACACCAGUGGCGAAGGCGACUUUCUGCUCGGUAACGGACUCUGAGGCGCGAAAGCGUGGGGCGCAACCAGGAUUAGAUACCCUGGUAGUCCACGCCGUAAACGAUGAGUGCUAAGUGUUGGGGGGUUUCCGCCCCUCAGUGCUGCAGCUAACGCAUUAAGCACUCCGCCUGGGGAGUACGGUCGCAAGACUGAAACUCAAAGGAAUUGACGGGG
RNAcentral lists this ribosomal RNA (397 nucleotides) under uncultured bacterium. RNAcentral's name for it is "partial 16S ribosomal RNA". It matches the Rfam family "Bacterial small subunit ribosomal RNA", at positions 523 to 918 of the family's 1533-position model. The record is from RNAcentral.